This 569-nucleotide ribosomal RNA is filed under the name Ploceus baglafecht reichenowi. RNAcentral's name for it is "partial small subunit ribosomal RNA". It matches the Rfam family "Bacterial large subunit ribosomal RNA", at positions 1817 to 2597 of the family's 2925-position model. Lineage: Eukaryota; Metazoa; Chordata; Aves; Passeriformes; Ploceidae. The record is from RNAcentral.
AGCCUUCAGCAAACCAACAGACAAGUAUUGAAGGUGAUGCCUGCCCGGUGACUCACGUUCAACGGCCGCGGUAUCCUAACCGUGCAAAGGUAGCACAAUCAAUUGUCCCAUAAAUCGAGACCUGUAUGAAUGGCUAAACGAGGUCUUAACUGUCUCUUACAGGCAAUCGGUGAAAUUGAUCUCCCUGUACAAAAGCAGGGAUAACCCCAUAAGACGAGAAGACCCUGUGGAACUUUAAAACCAACGACCACCUUAAACCACAUUCACACCCACUGGGUUCACUGCCGCAUAAGCCACUGGUCCGUGUUUUUCGGUUGGGGCGACCUUGGAGCAAAACAAAACCUCCAAAAAUUGGAUCACACCUCCAGACCAAGAGCAACCCCUCAACGUGCUAAUAGCAUCCAGACCCAAUACAAUUGACCAAUGGACCAAGCUACCCCAGGGAUAACAGCGCAAUCUCCUCCGAGAGUCCGUAUCGACGGGGAGGUGUACGACCUCGAUGUUGGAUCAGGACAUCCUAGUGGUGCAGCCGCUACUAAGGGUUCGUUUGUUCAACGAUUAACAGUCCU